RNAcentral lists this small RNA (274 nucleotides) under Mesocricetus auratus (golden hamster). Its description in RNAcentral is "Metazoan signal recognition particle RNA (ENSMAUG00000002529.1)". The record is from RNAcentral. Lineage: Eukaryota; Metazoa; Chordata; Mammalia; Rodentia; Cricetidae.
GCUGGGCGUGGUGGCACACGCCUAUAGUUCCAGCUACUCGGGAGGCUGAGACAGGAGCAUUGCUUGAGUCCCAGAGUUUUGGGCUGUAGUGCACUCUGCUGAUCCGGUGUCCCCACUAAGUUAGGUAUCAAUAUGGUGACCUUCCAGGCGCAGGGGCCACCAGGUUGCCUAAGGAGGAGUGAGCUGGCCCAGGUCGGAAGCAGAGCAGGACUACUAUGUUAGUGAAAGAACUUACAGUGUUUCAACUGCUUUUAAACUACAGCUUUUUGACUGU